AAUUGAAUUAAGGGGCAACUCUUAACUGGCCAAUUGGACAAAAGCCGAGAGGUACAAUUCCAGGGGGCAGAAAGCUCUGUAAAGCAUCGCUGAACAUACAGAGCGGGAGGCAUGGCGGUAGCGCAUCAACGACGUGCCAA
This 140-nucleotide non-coding RNA is filed under the name unclassified sequences. The record is from Rfam.